Molecule: ribosomal RNA, 796 nt
Filed under: uncultured Methanosarcinaceae archaeon
Lineage: Archaea; Methanobacteriati; Methanobacteriota; Methanomicrobia; Methanosarcinales; Methanosarcinaceae
Also listed under: 1 other name
Description: bacterial SSU rRNA
Rfam family: Archaeal small subunit ribosomal RNA
Source: RNAcentral
ACUGCUCAGUAACACGUGGAUAACCUGCCCUUGGGACCGGCAUAACCCCGGGAAACUGGGGAUAAUUCCGGAUACCGCAUAUAUGCUGGAAUGCUUUAUGCGUGAAAUGGAUUCGUCUGCCCAAGGAUGGGUCUGCGGCCUAUCAGGUAGUAGUGGGUGUAAUGUACCUACUAGCCUACAACGGGUACGGGUUGUGAGAGCAAGAGCCCGGAGAUGGAUUCUGAGACAUGAAUCCAGGCCCUACGGGGCGCAGCAGGCGCGAAAACUUUACAAUGCGGGAAACCGUGAUAAGGGGACACCGAGUGCCAGCAUCAUAUGCUGGCUGUCCAGGUGUGUAAAAUACACCUGUUAGCAAGGGCCGGGCAAGACCGGUGCCAGCCGCCGCGGUAACACCGGCGGCCCGAGUGGUGAUCGUGAUUAUUGGGUCUAAAGGGUCCGUAGCCGGUUUGGUCAGUCCUCCGGGAAAUCUGACAGCUCAACUGUUAGGCUUUCGGGGGAUACUGCCAGACUUGGAACCGGGAGAGGUAAGAGGUACUACAGGGGUAGGAGUGAAAUCUUGUAAUCCCUGUGGGACCACCUGUGGCGAAGGCGUCUUACCAGAACGGGUUCGACGGUGAGGGACGAAAGCUGGGGGCACGAACCGGAUUAGAUACCCGGGUAGUCCCAGCCGUAAACGAUGCUCGCUAGGUGUCAGGCAUGGCGCGACCGUGUCUGGUGCCGCAGGGAAGCCGUGAAGCGAGCCACCUGGGAAGUACGGCCGCAAGGCUGAAACUUAAAGGAAUUGGCGGGGGAGCAC